AUGCCUCAUAGCCAAGAACAAAACAAAACAAAAAAACAAGAAAUGAGAAUUGAUUGCCACGGAAGUCGCUUCCCGGAAGCCAGCCUGCAGGGAGCCAUGCAACCCACCACAGGCCCCACAGGAUGCUGGGGAAGGCAGGGUUGGUUUGUUUCCCAGUCAGUUUCACUCCCUGGCCCGCACCCUCCUACCCAGAGCACUUGGCUUUCUGGGUUACUCCUUCUGCAGCUGCUUUCAUUUAUUUCGGGACCAGUUUUAUUGUCUCUGCUUUACUCAUGACUUUGUCUUGCCUUCUUCUUUUUGGGGCUUGAAUUUAGACGAGAGAUGAGGGCAAAGGGUACUGAAUCCCAAACCCAAAUCCCGUUUGAUGUAUUCCUUCAUUUGUUUAUUUUCCUCUCAACAAUAGUUGAGCAAGAAGGAAGGUUGAUAGGAGGACCAAAGUGUGGGUUUUGAAAACCAUUAGUGAGUUUUAAGGAGGCAGGCCACCAUGGUGACUCUAGACAACGGAGCACUGGCUGUUUAGGGCAGUUCUUAAGCACUGAGCAUUACCUAUUUAGAAAUGUCUCUUGGGUUGUUUAUCAAGGUGUGUGACUGAGGGUGAGGAAUGGAGAAAUCAGAACGAGAGGGAGAGCAACCAUCGUCCAUUUGAAAUCUUGUGAACCAGCUGUUCUAAAGUUAAUAAAACCCCCAAAAGCCUCA
RNAcentral lists this long non-coding RNA (696 nucleotides) under Sus scrofa (pig). RNAcentral's name for it is "lncRNA (ENSSSCG00030062255.1)". Lineage: Eukaryota; Metazoa; Chordata; Mammalia; Artiodactyla; Suidae. The record is from RNAcentral.